RNAcentral lists this transfer RNA (34 nucleotides) under Oenothera elata subsp. elata. RNAcentral's name for it is "partial tRNA-Ile". Lineage: Eukaryota; Viridiplantae; Streptophyta; Magnoliopsida; Myrtales; Onagraceae. The record is from RNAcentral.
CGGGCUAUUAGCUCAGUGGUAGAGCGCGCCCCUG